GAACCAUCACAAAUCUUCAAAUUCAAAUGAAGACCAACUGGAGGACAGAAUAAUAGAAGGAACGGCAAACUCUGACAAGCAUCAUCGAUUACAAGUACAUGGAACAGACAUUAAAACUCCUAUAUGCAUGAAGCAUGAAGCAGACCAUGCAUGAGAAGGCAAGGUGUUUUGUUCCUCUAGCAAGGUUUACAAGUCGUAAAUAUGACCAGCAGGAAAAGUGCGCUAAACUUUUGUUGUACAAGAAAAAGCUAGAAGGACUUUAUCAAAACCAUUCAAUAGAAAAGAAGAAUCAGAUAGCCACGGAAGAUGUACUGUUUCGUAUUCUUCAAAUUCAAGAGAUUGGAAGUGUAGAACAUUAUUAUCUUAAUGGCUCACUCGUUAAAAUACAUGUUUUGGAGGACACGGAUAUUUAACAGGAUCAGUGGCCAUCAGGGAAUUCCUGACCAAGGAGCAAGAUUUUAUGAACCGACUUAAGAUGACUACACGUCUAAAUGUGGCAUCUAAAAAUUAUCUAGAGCUAAAAAAGGAAAAAAAUUGGAGGCAUCAAUUUCGAUAUCUUGAUACCAGUUCAUGAUAUUUACCCCCGCAAUACCAAUAUCUUAACAUUGAAUACACUAAGCUAUAUCUUCAAUGUAACAGAAAUAAAAAUAUUUUUAUUUGAA
Long non-coding RNA from Stylophora pistillata, 662 nucleotides. RefSeq lists it as uncharacterized. NCBI's taxonomy places the organism in Eukaryota, Metazoa, Cnidaria, Anthozoa, Scleractinia, Pocilloporidae. The record is from RefSeq and is a predicted model, not a curated record.